Molecule: ribosomal RNA, 1556 nt
Filed under: Triticum aestivum (bread wheat)
Lineage: Eukaryota; Viridiplantae; Streptophyta; Magnoliopsida; Poales; Poaceae
Description: partial small subunit ribosomal RNA
Source: RNAcentral
GCAAAACAGGCAAGUGCGAUAAAUUUGCAGUUGGAACCUCGAUGUGUUCCAAAGCCCGCGCUCCGGUCCCCCGAACUGGGCAUUCCGCUCCACUAUCUCCUCAAAAUCCAUUUCCUCGGCUGGUCGUCAAUCCCCUCCGCUGUUCUAAAGCCUUACUACUCGCCUCGGCCAGUCGCCUCCGCCACCAAAACCCUAACCCUAGCCCCGGAGCUCAGGCGACGCUUGCGCCUCCAAAUGGACGGGGGAGGCACGCAUCGCACGCCGGAGGACGUGUUCAGGGAUUUCCGCGCGCGGCGGGCCGGCAUGAUUAAGGCGCUCACCACCGAUGUGGAGAAGUUCUACCAGCAGUGCGACCCAGAGAAAGAGAAUCUAUGCCUGUAUGGUCUUCCCAAUGAAACAUGGGAAGUGAACUUGCCUGCAGAGGAGGUUCCCCCAGAACUUCCAGAGCCGGCACUGGGAAUUAAUUUUGCUCGGGAUGGGAUGGAUGAGAAAGAUUGGUUGUCACUUGUUGCGGUGCACAGUGAUGCCUGGUUGCUAGCAGUAGCCUUCUACUUUGGAGCAAGAUUCGGGUUUGACAAAGAAUCCAGGAAGCGGCUUUUUAGCAUGAUAAACAACCUCCCCACCAUAUAUGAGGUUGUCACGGGAACUGCGAAGAAGCAGGUCAAAGAAAAACACCCCAAAAGCAGCAGCAAGAUAAGUAAAUCUGGCACUAAGGUAAUGAACCAUUUUCGUUUUUGCAACAAUGCUGACCUAAAACUAAGCUCAUAACUUGUUGUCUUUUGGCGCAAACACACUUCCCCAGCCAUCUCGCCAGCCAGAACCCAACUCAAGGGGUCCAAAGAUGCCACCACCUCCGAAGGAUGAGGACGACAGUGGAGGCGAGGAAGAAGAGGGAGAAGAACAUGAAAAGGCAUUAUGUGGUGCGUGUAAUGAUAACUAUGGACAGGAUGAAUUCUGGAUCUGCUGUGAUGCUUGUGAGACAUGGUUCCACGGUAAGUGUGUGAAGAUCACCCCUGCCAAAGCUGAGCACAUCAAGCACUACAAAUGCCCAAAUUGCAGCAGCAGUAGCAAGAGGGCCAGAGCAUGAUAUCAGAUUCCUCCACGGCUCAUGUCUGAAGAUCCAAGGAUUUGACUUACUGUAAAGACGCAUGUGGGACGGAAUGCCCAAUGGAUGUGCAUUCAGUUGUUGCUUUGAGAUUAGUACCAGCUUUAGGGGUCUUGCUGUGUUGUUAUUUGGUGUAUGUCGGUGAUGUUCUAGAUUUACUUGUAGUCGUAGCAACUAAUUGUAACAGCUUGUAUGUCUUGGAGCCUUGUCAGGGCCCUGUUCUGGACUCUCUGUGUCCUAGGUUCAGUGAUGUAUCACGUCAUCAUGUACCCUUGUUGUAAUUUGUUGAAGAACCGCCUGUUAUCUUAGCUUUUACAGCCUAGUUAUAUUUGGACAUGUUAUCUAGCAUCUACCGAUUGUUCCACUGUUUUAGAACUUGGUAAAUAGUCGGGUGUUUGUCAACUUGAGAAAUUAGGGUUGCGGGUGCAAUGUUUAAGACGGUGGUGCUUGC